CCCCACCCAGAUGCCUAGAACAGCCCCAGGGCCUGGGCAGAAAGGCAGGUGUAGACAAGACUGUCUUGCUGGGGGGGGGGGGGGGAGGCACACUGCCAGACACACAAAACAAGAAUAUAAAUGAGGACAGGGAACUCCUAAUCCUUCCCGGCUGUGGCUGCUACCGCUCUGCGGGCCGCGCUGCCUUCUCCUGGCCAGCUCCCGGCCUGGGAGGUGGACCUCGGCCGCCAAGAGCGGAGCCGGCCAAGCGGGUCGGAGCGAUGCCCGGCCGGCGGCCUCGGCUCCCGGUGACUCAGGGCUCCCAGACCCCUCCUGGUGGGCACGUUCCUGCGCCGCUAUUUUUAGAGCCGACUGCAGGCCUGAGUGCAGAGCUGCAGAGAAGGGGGGCUCGUGGGACGCAGGCGCCUGACCACCUCUUCUUCCUCGAGGCUCCCCAGCCCCGGCCUUCCCGCUGUCCGUCUGGAAGAGUAGGAGCCCUAGAGGGGCGCGAUGUGGAGUCACAGAAAGUGAAGCGCCGACCCGGGGCAAGGCCCCCGCCCCCAGGCCGUCUCCCCUCCACCGGGCCCGCAGCUCCACCCGGCUGUUCCAGGCCUCACCCGUGGAGACCCGGCGCCUCCGACCUACCGCGGGUCUGGCUAUUGGGCGAGAGGCCAGGACGGGCAGGGCUCCCGGCGACCCACGUGGCUGCGGGUGGGGGAACUGGGCCAUCAGCUCCAGGUUCUGGGGAAAAAGACCUCACCCCCGGAGGCCACGCCCACCACCCUCCUGGGGCCACAUCUAGGUCUGGGUGCCCUCUCAGACCCUCCUUUCAUCUGGUUCCGCUCAAGUUCCGCCCAAGGCCUCCUGGUCAGGUAUCUGUUCAUCUGCAAUGGAUGGAGUGGAUCUGCCCCUGGGGAACUGGGGCAGAAGUGAGAAGAGUAGGGAGAGGAGACCUCCCCCAGCGUGAGUAGGAUUAGAAGGAGAGCGGAGGGAGAGGCAACAUGGAGGCGUCUAGGCUGAGGACGCAUUUGCACUAAUGGAGCUGUCCCACCACCACCACCAUGGGGGCAGAGUUUCUAGCAGGGACCCCAGCCCUUUGAUUUCCCUAGCCUCUGGGAGUGGACACUGAAGCUGCUUGAAGUCUGUUGGCUCAUCCUGACUUUUGAAAAAGCAGACUUGUGGAGGGCUGAAACUGCACGUGCCUCAUUCAGAAGACAAUUUUCAAGCGGUGCCUGGCGCAUAGGAAGUGCUCAGGAUUCUUUGUUUAAUUUGCUUUUCCUUGGUAGCUAUCAAAUUCUUUUUCAAGCCCAGGUCUGCUGUAAUGAGGGGCUGGCGGUAGCCCUCAGAAUAAAAUUGAAAACCUU
Molecule: long non-coding RNA, 1343 nt
Organism: Erinaceus europaeus (western European hedgehog)
Lineage: Eukaryota; Metazoa; Chordata; Mammalia; Eulipotyphla; Erinaceidae
Exons: 3
Source: RefSeq, a predicted model, not a curated record